GGGGAUUUGGCUCAGUGGUAGAGCGCUUGCCUAGCAAGCACAAGGCCCUGGGUUCGGUCCCCAGCUCCU
RNAcentral lists this transfer RNA (69 nucleotides) under Rattus norvegicus (Norway rat). It matches the Rfam family "tRNA". From Rfam's summary of the family: Transfer RNA (tRNA) molecules are approximately 80 nucleotides in length. Their secondary structure includes four short double-helical elements and three loops (D, anti-codon, and T loops). Lineage: Eukaryota; Metazoa; Chordata; Mammalia; Rodentia; Muridae. The record is from Rfam by way of RNAcentral.